RNAcentral lists this long non-coding RNA (434 nucleotides) under Ananas comosus (pineapple). RNAcentral describes it as "long non-coding RNA (ACOM_LNC012835)". Lineage: Eukaryota; Viridiplantae; Streptophyta; Magnoliopsida; Poales; Bromeliaceae. The record is from RNAcentral.
UAAAUUUUUAUUUUAUUUUUAUUUUUACGGAUUGAGGCUAUUAUUUAGUUCAUUUUCUAAAUGAAUAAAGCGGUAGCAUAUUAUUUCUCUCUCUCAAUACAUAUGUAUAUAGCUAUUAUAUUAUUGGAAGCAUACAGAAUUUGAUAUUUUCGAAAUUUUCACUCUUGGAUUAAGAAUUAUACAGUUGGCAUGACUAUGGUCCCCCAGGGUUGAAUAGUAUUUUUAGAGUUGAGUGGUCCCUACAGGACAUUAGUAUAUAUUAAUCCAAAUGUUAGAAAUAAUUAAAGUGACUAAUCUAAAGGCUAAAAAAUUGGAAACAUCAUAUUCUCUAUACUUCCGAUAACAUAGUAACUUUACUAUAUAUAUAUAUAUAGAGAGAGAGAGAGAGAGAGAGAGAGAGAGAGAGAGAGAGAGAGAGAGAGAGAGAGAGAGGG